GAAGGCAAGCGGAUCUCUUAAAGCUGUUCUCAGUUCGGACUGCAGUCUGCAACUCGACUGCACGAAGCUGGAAUCGCUAGUAAUCGCGGAUCAGCACGCCGCGGUGAAUACGUUCCCGGGUCUUGUACACACCGCCCGUCACACCAUGGGAGUCGGAAAUGCCCGAAGCCGGUGACCAAACCAAUAAGGAAGGAGCCGUCGAAGGCAGGUCUGAUAACUGGGGUGAAGUCGUAACAAGGUAGC
Molecule: ribosomal RNA, 243 nt
Filed under: uncultured bacterium
Lineage: Bacteria
Description: partial 16S ribosomal RNA
Rfam family: Bacterial small subunit ribosomal RNA
Source: RNAcentral